Molecule: ribosomal RNA, 253 nt
Filed under: uncultured bacterium
Lineage: Bacteria
Description: partial 16S ribosomal RNA
Rfam family: Bacterial small subunit ribosomal RNA
Source: RNAcentral
UACGUAGGUGGCAAGCGUUAUCCGGAUUUAUUGGGUGUAAAGGGCGUGUAGGCGGGAAUGCAAGUCAGAUGUGAAAACUCAGGGCUCAACCCUGAGCCUGCAUUUGAAACUGUAUUUCUUGAGUGCUGGAGAGGCAAUCGGAAUUCCGUGUGUGGCGGUAAAAUGCGUAAAUAUAUGUAAGAACACCAGUGGCGAAGGCGGCUUGCUGGGUCGAUACUGACAUUGAGGCACGAAAGCGUGGGGAGCAAACAGG